This is a long non-coding RNA of Octopus sinensis (East Asian common octopus), 167 nucleotides long. RefSeq lists it as uncharacterized. Lineage: Eukaryota; Metazoa; Mollusca; Cephalopoda; Octopoda; Octopodidae. The transcript is spliced from 3 exons. The record is from RefSeq and is a predicted model, not a curated record.
UGUAUGUAUGUAUGUAUGUAUGUAUGUAUGCAUGUAUUAAUACAGUCAACUCUCGCUACUAUGCCACCCUGCGGGACUGAGCCAAAGUGGCAUAGUACCGAGAGUGGCAUAGCACCGAGGGUCUGUUAUCUAAACACUACAUAACCAAAAAUUUACUGAACAUAUGA